GAUAGUGUGAGCAAAAGCUCGUAGUUGAACUUCUGGCUGCGUGCAGGUUUGGCUCUUGUCAGCCUGUUCGUUGUCAUCCGUCUGCAACCUUGUACGUCCUUUAGUGGAUCGGCAGGGGAGUAGACAUUUUACUUUGAAAAAAUAGAGUGUUCAAGCAGAAAUCGAAGAAUACUUUUAGCAUGAACUAUGGGAAGAGGACUCAAGUCCCUUUUGGUUGGUUAUUGGACGCGAGAAUGAUUAAAAGGGCAAGUGGGGGGCGUUAGUUUUUUAUUUUCAAAAGGCAAAAAUCCUUGAUUUUUUUAAAGAAAAUUUUUGGGAAAAUUUU
This 325-nucleotide ribosomal RNA is filed under the name uncultured eukaryote. RNAcentral describes it as "partial 18S ribosomal RNA". It matches the Rfam family "Eukaryotic small subunit ribosomal RNA", at positions 622 to 954 of the family's 1831-position model. The record is from RNAcentral.